GCCCUCGUGCUAUGUAGUAAAGCUCCGAAAGGACUUUGACGCCGUGAAGAAGCGUAAGACUACUAAGGCAUGAGGGUUU
Non-coding RNA from Flavobacterium reichenbachii, 79 nucleotides. Lineage: Bacteria; Pseudomonadati; Bacteroidota; Flavobacteriia; Flavobacteriales; Flavobacteriaceae. The record is from Rfam.